GGUCGUAGCUCAGUGGGUUGAGUGCUUGACUUGAAUGUGUGAGGCACUGGGUUCGAUCCUCAGCACCA
RNAcentral lists this transfer RNA (68 nucleotides) under Marmota monax (woodchuck). RNAcentral's name for it is "tRNA.Ser". Lineage: Eukaryota; Metazoa; Chordata; Mammalia; Rodentia; Sciuridae. The record is from RNAcentral.